GACAGAGGGUGCAAACGUUGUUCGGGAUUACUGGGCGUAAAGCGUGUGUAGGCGGCCACGUAAGUCGGAUGUGAAAGCCCCGGGCUCAACCCGGGAAGUGCACUCGAUACUGCGUGGCUUGAGUACUGGAGAGGUUGGUGGAAUUCUCGGUGUAGAGGUGAAAUUCGUAGAUAUCGAGAGGAACACCGGUGGCGAAGGCGGCCAACUGGACAGAUACUGACGCUGAGACACGAAAGCGUGGGGAGCAAACAGG
This 253-nucleotide ribosomal RNA is filed under the name uncultured bacterium. RNAcentral describes it as "partial 16S ribosomal RNA". It matches the Rfam family "Bacterial small subunit ribosomal RNA", at positions 524 to 776 of the family's 1533-position model. The record is from RNAcentral.